This 532-nucleotide ribosomal RNA is filed under the name uncultured Alphaproteobacteria bacterium. RNAcentral's name for it is "bacterial SSU rRNA". It matches the Rfam family "Bacterial small subunit ribosomal RNA", at positions 338 to 888 of the family's 1533-position model. Lineage: Bacteria; Pseudomonadati; Pseudomonadota; Alphaproteobacteria. The record is from RNAcentral.
CCUACGGGAGGCAGCAGUGGGGAAUAUUGGACAAUGGGGGCAACCCUGAUCCAGCCAUGCCGCGUGAGUGAUGAAGGCCUUAGGGUUGUAAAGCUCUUUCGACGGGGACGAUGAUGACGGUACCCGUAGAAGAAGCCCCGGCUAACUUCGUGCCAGCAGCCGCGGUAAUACGAAGGGGGCUAGCGUUGUUCGGAAUUACUGGGCGUAAAGCGCACGCAGGCGGUGGUCAUAGUCAGAAGUGAAAGCCCUGGGCUCAACCCGGGAAUUGCUUUUGAUACUGGACCGCUAGAAUCACGGAGAGGGUAGUGGAAUUCCGAGUGUAGAGGUGAAAUUCGUAGAUAUUCGGAAGAACACCAGUGGCGAAGGCGACUACCUGGCCGUCGAUUGACGCUCAUGUGCGAAAGCGUGGGGAGCAAACAGGAUUAGAUACCCUGGUAGUCCACGCCGUAAACGAUGAGUGCUAGAUGUUGGGGUGCAUGCACCUCAGUGUCGCAGCUAACGCGAUAAGCACUCCGCCUGGGGAGUACGGCCG